Molecule: microRNA, 22 nt
Filed under: Rattus norvegicus (Norway rat)
Lineage: Eukaryota; Metazoa; Chordata; Mammalia; Rodentia; Muridae
Description: rno-miR-3557-5p
Source: miRBase by way of RNAcentral
GCCUUCUGACUCCAAGUCCAGU